UACGUAGGGUGCAAGCGUUGUCCGGAAUUAUUGGGCGUAAAGAGCUCGUAGGCGGUCUGUCGCGUCUGCUGUGAAAACUCGGGGCUUAACCCCGGGCCUGCAGUGGGUACGGGCAGACUAGAGUGCGGUAGGGGAGACUGGAAUUCCUGGUGUAGCGGUGAAAUGCGUAGAUAUCUGAAGGAACAUCAGUGGCGAAAGCGACUUCCUGGACCAAUACUGACGCUCAUGUGCGAAAGCGUGGGGAGCAAACAGG
RNAcentral lists this ribosomal RNA (253 nucleotides) under uncultured bacterium. Its description in RNAcentral is "partial 16S ribosomal RNA". It matches the Rfam family "Bacterial small subunit ribosomal RNA", at positions 524 to 776 of the family's 1533-position model. The record is from RNAcentral.